AAUCAACGCUGGCGGCGCGCUUAACACAUGCAAGUCGAACGAGAAAGCCGGAGCAAUCUGGUGAGUAAAGUGGCGUACGGGUGAGUAACACGUGGAUCAUCUACCUCUUAGUGGGGGAUAACCCUGGGAAACCGGGGCUAAUACCGCAUAAUCCUGUGAAGGGAAAGCAGCAAUGCGCUGAGAGAGGAGUCCGCGGCCGAUUAGCUAGUUGGUAGGGUAAUGGCCUACCAAGGCAAUGAUCGGUAGCCGGCCUGAGAGGGCACACGGCCACACUGGCACUGAAACACGGGCCAGACUCCUACGGGAGGCAGCAGUGGGGAAUCUUGCACAAUGGGGGCAACCCUGAUGCAGCGACGCCGCGUGAGCGAUGAAGCCCUUCGGGGUGUAAAGCUCUUUCGGCAGGGACGAUAAUGACGGUACCUGAAGAAGAAGCUGCGGCUAACUACGUGCCAGCAGCCGCCGU
Molecule: ribosomal RNA, 463 nt
Filed under: uncultured bacterium
Lineage: Bacteria
Description: bacterial SSU rRNA
Rfam family: Bacterial small subunit ribosomal RNA
Source: RNAcentral